Lutra lutra (Eurasian river otter) is the source of this 885-nucleotide long non-coding RNA. RefSeq lists it as uncharacterized. The transcript has 2 exons. Lineage: Eukaryota; Metazoa; Chordata; Mammalia; Carnivora; Mustelidae. The record is from RefSeq and is a predicted model, not a curated record.
CGAGGGAGGUGUUUUGUAGGGCGGGAGGCUGCCACGCUGGGGGGAGGGGCAAACAGCAAAAAGGGUGUUCUUUUGCGUGGUCCUCCUUGGUGCUUUCGGCCAGUGCUGACCCCUCCCAGCUGUUGCACAACUUCCUCUGCUGCGCAGGACCACUGAGCAACCCAGAGACUGGAGACCGGCAGAGCGACUGGGAAUCUGCCAUCACCACUGCCCCCCCCACCCCACCCCCACCCAGGGGACAGGCUGGGUUCCACAGAGGAAGGGGAAGUGCUCCACCCAAGGUCACACAGGGAGCCAAAGGCCCCUGCACAGCCGGACUUCUGUUCCCCUGACCCGGAACGGCUGCUUGUUCAGACCAGGAAGAAUCCAGAGACUUCCCAUCUGUUUCACGUCCAGGAACACUGUGACCUGCUCGCCAAUGGCCUCGCUCUGUGUGCGUCACACCGACCUGACUGGCGCGAGGUCUGUCUCAGUCACUGUACCCCCCCCUUGCCUUGGGUCCGUGACCCCUGCCCCGUGGGGACCCAGUGACCCCCAUCACACUUUGUUUUCCCAACUCGCUGGCAGUCCUGUACGUAAUUUCUGGCCUCGAGAAGAUGCUGGGUCUUCUUCACAAUCAUGGUGAAAGGUGUGUACUCUGGACCCGGAGGUCAGGGAGCGGGUUUUCAAUGGAAAGAUCUGCUCUGAUGCUCCCAUCUCCCUAAGACUUUGGACCCUCCCUCCAUCCAAGCAAGGCAGUGCUGGCACGUCCCCUCCCCUUUAGCACAGGCCGCAUUCCGGGUCAUGUCUCAGCCAACCGAGCGACCAAAGGCUCAAGCCCCCUCUCGUCCCCUGAGCAGCACCAGUAAACCUCCCACCUCUGCUUGGUGAGCUUCUACCAAUAAA